This 253-nucleotide ribosomal RNA is filed under the name uncultured bacterium. RNAcentral describes it as "partial 16S ribosomal RNA". It matches the Rfam family "Bacterial small subunit ribosomal RNA", at positions 524 to 776 of the family's 1533-position model. The record is from RNAcentral.
UACGGGGGGGGCAAGCGUUGUUCGGAAUUACUGGGCGUAAAGGGCUCGUAGGUGGUCAACUAAGUCGGACGUGAAAUCCCUCGGCUUAACCGGGGAACUGCGUCCGAUACUGGAUGACUUGAGUUCGGGAGAGGGAUGCGGAAUUCCAGGUGUAGCGGUGAAAUGCGUAGAUAUCCGGAGGAACACCGGUGGCGAAGGCGGCAUCCUGGACCGACACUGACGCUGAGGAGCGAAAGCCAGGGGAGCAAACGGG